RNAcentral lists this ribosomal RNA (305 nucleotides) under uncultured bacterium. RNAcentral describes it as "partial 16S ribosomal RNA". It matches the Rfam family "Bacterial small subunit ribosomal RNA", at positions 505 to 808 of the family's 1533-position model. The record is from RNAcentral.
ACAGCAGCAGCCGCGGGAAUACGUAGGUGGCAAGCGUUGUCCGGAAUUAUUGGGCGUAAAGCGCGCGCAGGUGGUUCCUUAAGUCUGAUGUGAAAGCCCACGGCUCAACCGUGGAGGGUCAUUGGAAACUGGGGGACUUGAGUGCAGAAGAGGAAAGUGGAAUUCCAAGUGUAGCGGUGAAAUGCGUAGAUAUUUGGAGGAACACCAGUGGCGAAGGCGACUUUCUGGUCUGUAACUGACACUGAGGCGCGAAAGCGUGGGGAGCAAACAGGAUUAGAACCCCCGUAGUCCCUGUCUCUUAUACA